CCUACGGGUGGCAGCAGUGAGGAAUAUUGGUCAAUGGACGAGAGUCUGAACCAGCCAAGUAGCGUGAAGGAUGACUGCCCUAUGGGUUGUAAACUUCUUUUAUAUGGGAAUAAAAUGUUCCACGUGUGGGAUUUUGUAUGUACCAUAUGAAUAAGGCUCGGCUAACUCCGUGCCAGCAGCCGCGGUAAUACGGAGGAUCCGAGCGUUAUCCGGAUUUAUUGGGUUUAACGGGAGCGUAGGUGGAUUGUUAAGUCAGUUGUGAAAGUUUGCGGCUCAACCGGAAAAUUGCAGUUGAAACUGGCAGUCUUGAGUACAGGAGAGGCGGGCGGAAUUCGUGGUGUAGCGGUGAAAUGCGUAGAUAUCACGAAGAACUCCGAUUGCGAAGGCAGUUCACUGGACUGCAACUGACACUGAGGCGCGAAAGUGUGGGUAUCAAACAGGAUUAGAUACCCCAGUAGUC
RNAcentral lists this ribosomal RNA (460 nucleotides) under uncultured bacterium. RNAcentral describes it as "partial 16S ribosomal RNA". It matches the Rfam family "Bacterial small subunit ribosomal RNA", at positions 338 to 795 of the family's 1533-position model. The record is from RNAcentral.